CUCGGUUUGAACUGUUAUUAAUUUUUAACUCUGGCUUCCAAAUGAACCAUAUGAUGAGAUUAUAAACCCUUGUGAUUAAUUAUUUGAUUUCUCUUUUCUAGUUUGUAUCUGAGAUACAAUCAUGAAGUGCCGUAUUGCUGCAAAAGAGGAAUGGCCGGGAACAGCUACAGGUGAUGCCUCGGUUUUUCGGCAGGAGCUGGCACCAUAUGCUUUGGAUGGAAGUCGAUGUCUGCAAUAUGCCAGUUUGGGAUGGUAUCCACUCCGUCUUCAUUCAUAAUUGUUAAAUACGUGGCUCUAAACCCAGAUGCAUGAGGCUUCACAUCUCUUGUCAAAUUUUCUAGCUAAAUAUGCUCUAAAUAUAUGCAUGUCUCUUUACUGAAAUCUAAAAAGACAAAAUUGUAUCAUUAUAUAUCCUGAAUGCUUUUGUUAACCUUGUUGAUGACCAGGUUUUAGAAUCCAGCUACGUUUCUGGCAUCGGUAAUAUUCAUGGCAAUUAAUUUCACUAAUUAUUCAGCAUAUAUGGAAAAUUCCUUUUUAUCCACUUAGAUUGUGUCAAUUUUCAAUGAUCUCUUGUUUGUACAAGCUGAGACAAUGAGAACAUUUUUGCUGUCAUUCAUUAUCUGACAUAAAGUGGAUAGCCUUGCUUUUUCAAAUGCCUUACUAAUUCCUAUCACUGCGCAGAAGUUGUUUUCAUAGGAAAAUAUCAGCAAGUGGUCAGCAAACCUUUAUUCUGUGCACCUUCUAGACUAGGAAUUUGUCUAUAACAAAAACGUAUGUUGUGGCUUAUCUUAUAUAUCCUUCUAAAAAUUCACUGAAUACGAUUCCCAUUGGGGAUGCCUGUAAAUAUGCUGUUGUACAGAUGAGGAGGGAUCCUCUCCUAGCAAAAUAAUAAUCCUGAGAGCCUCAGGGAGGUUCAAGGAAUGCAUAACACUUUGAAUGGCAAGGUGGGGGAGCAGCAACCUCAGCCAUAGCUAGCUGUGCACAGCUGGGAGCAGCCAAACCCUUUGGCAUUUCUGCCAGAGCUGGUACCAGAGUCGGGCUCGUGCUGCGUGAACCCAGAGGACCAAAGCACACGGGAAGGUUGGGGCAAAGUCCUGGCCAGCAAAGGCAGGCUCCCCUGGCACGCUUCCUGUUGUAGGUAGCUGUCAAACAAGGCUGCGGAGAAUUGUGAAGGUUAUGUUAGAUUACGAAAAUGAGAUGGGAGAUGGUAGUCGCUUUGUCAGAUAAAUAAGUCAUAAUUCCUCUAAGAGAAAGGAGUCUAAGAAUAACUCAACCUA
RNAcentral lists this long non-coding RNA (1277 nucleotides) under Anser brachyrhynchus (Pink-footed goose). RNAcentral describes it as "lncRNA (ENSABRG00000016682.1)". The record is from RNAcentral. Lineage: Eukaryota; Metazoa; Chordata; Aves; Anseriformes; Anatidae.